This 497-nucleotide ribosomal RNA is filed under the name uncultured bacterium. Its description in RNAcentral is "partial 16S ribosomal RNA". It matches the Rfam family "Bacterial small subunit ribosomal RNA", at positions 28 to 507 of the family's 1533-position model. The record is from RNAcentral.
GAUGAACGCUGGCGGCGUGCCUAAUACAUGCAAGUCGAGCGAACAGACGAGGAGCUUGCUCCUCUGACGUUAGCGGCGGACGGGUGAGUAACACGUGGAUAACCUACCUAUAAGACUGGGAUAACUUCGGGAAACCGGAGCUAAUACCGGAUAAUAUAUUGAACCGCAUGGUUCAAUAGUGAAAGACGGUUUUGCUGUCACUUAUAGAUGGAUCCGCGCCGCAUUAGCUAGUUGGUAAGGUAACGGCUUACCAAGGCAACGAUGCGUAGCCGACCUGAGAGGGUGAUCGGCCACACCGGAACUGAGACACGGUCCAGAAUCCUACGGGAGGCAGCAGUAGGGAAUCUUCCGCAAUGGGCGAAAGCCUGACGGAGCAACGCCGCGUGAGUGAUGAAGGUCUUCGGAUCGUAAAACUCUGUUAUUAGGGAAGAACAAAUGUGUAAGUAACUAUGCACGUCUUGACGGUACCUAAUCAGAAAGCCACGGCUAACUACGUG